Molecule: ribosomal RNA, 450 nt
Filed under: uncultured bacterium
Lineage: Bacteria
Description: bacterial SSU rRNA
Rfam family: Bacterial small subunit ribosomal RNA
Source: RNAcentral
AUUGAACGCUGGCGGCAGGCCUAACACAUGCAAGUCGAACGGUAGCACAGAGAGCUUGCUCUCGGGUGACGAGUGGCGGACGGGUGAGUAAUGUCUGGGAAACUGCCUGAUGGAGGGGGAUAACUACUGGAAACGGUAGCUAAUACCGCAUAACGUCGCAAGACCAAAGAGGGGGACCUUCGGGCCUCUUGCCAUCAGAUGUGCCCAGAUGGGAUUAGCUAGUAGGUGGGGUAACGGCUCACCUAGGCGACGAUCCCUAGCUGGUCUGAGAGGAUGACCAGCCACACUGGAACUGAGACACGGUCCAGACUCCUACGGGAGGCAGCAGUGGGGAAUAUUGCACAAUGGGCGCAAGCCUGAUGCAGCCAUGCCGCGUGUAUGAAGAAGGCCUUCGGGUUGUAAAGUACUUUCAGCGGGGAGGAAGGUGUUGUGGUUAAUAGCCACAGCAAU